CCAAACUCGACAGCUUACCGUCACGGUGAGCUUCUUCCGACACACAAGCACACCCCUACCGCCCUCUCCCCCUCCGCCUUCGCAUGCCGCCGCAGGAUUACCACACCAACGAGUUUCUGAUGUAAUGAGUCCGAGCCCUUCCGCGGCGACGAGUCGAUAACGCUGUCAACUGUGCAAUGAGGCGCUGCGUGGUGGGCGCUGUGGGCGUGUGCGUCUGUGCUGUGUGUGCCGAAGUGGUGCGCAUGCAGGCACCCCUCGACGCAUGUGUGCGCGUGUGAUGAUACACCAAAGCAGGGAAUCUCUUGUCGAGCGCCGGCGCGCGUCGCCGGCGUGGUGACAUGACACACUUUGAGUAACCGAAUCCAUUCAUUGAAUUGCCUGACCCGUGCGUGUGUGUGUGCGUGUCGGACGCAUGCGUGUGCUCCCACCCCCCCCCAAAUGACGAAUGUGGCAUCUCUCCACGGACACCGCAUUCGCACUGCGGUGCGUGACAUCACUGUUGCCUUCGAACCUAAUGCCAGGGCCGAUGCGGGCGUGGGUGUGGGUGUGCAGCUGAAGAGUGCCCGGACGUGUGCGACUGCGUGAUGAGCUAUAGGUCUACGACGAACAACUCGUCUGAUCACCCUUGUUGAUGACCUCACACACCUUUUGCUUCCUCACUGACUGGCAGUCGCGGCCGCUGUGUGCUUGCGCGCGUGGACGACGGAGCGCGGGGCAAGGCGGUGUGGAGCACGUGCGCACAUGGAGAUGCUGUGUGCGUUGCCGUCUUCGCACUUCCUCAGCCCCCUUCUCGCCUCCCUGCUGCUGCUGCUGCGCCGCUCUGGCGAUGCGCGCUGCGCAGAUGCGCCUCCGGUCGUUUCCGCAGUUGUCGGCUCUCGCUCUCUAUCGGCGGCACAUGAUUCGACACUUGGAUGAACUUGUCCUCCGCAGAGUGCCGCUUCUGCUCUCUGAAGAGGCGCGGCGCGCGUGGUCACUCGCGCAAGCAUUGAGUGAGGACGACUGGAUGUUGCCAUGGCAGCGUUGGCGGCAUCGAGUGCGGGUCGCCGAUGCGAGCACCCUUGCUGCGCCGCGUAGUCAGGAAGACGGCGUUGUCAUGGGCCGCCCAGCGUUUUCUACGUCCUCCUUUUCCUGUUCGGGGUUAUAAGGGGCGAGGGUGUUCUAUCGUGAAGCGGAUGCCUCGUGUAGGCAAUGCCGUAGGCGAGCGGCCGCUGCCGGCCCAUCUGCUACUCGUACAGGCAGGUGAUGUGCAAAGUAGUGGACGGUCACGUGCAGGCCACAAUCCUCGCUGUAUUACUGCUGUCGCGCGCAUGCGCUGCGAGAGACUGAUAAGCCCGGCCCGACCGCGCGGAGCUUGCGACGUGGCGCCUACGGUACGCUGGCUGAGGGCGCAGAAUCGCCCGCGGUCAAGACAACGGGCAUACUGUCCGACGCCUCCUCCACGACUCCCGCGAUCCGAUGCGACCGCAGAACAUGUGGAAGGUACAGCACGCCCACGACCUGCUAGCCUACUGACGGAGAGCACGAGCCCGUUAGCGCCGCCGAGCACGGCAUAUUGCAUCGCAGCGAAGCGUCGCAUGGUGCGGGAGGUAGCGACGAGAGAGUGUGUCGAAUUCCAGGUGGGAGGUCUUGCCUGCAUGUAGAUCACCGCCCCCUCCAAACUGCGGCGCGAGAGGUACAGUACCCCCACCGGUAGCAUGCCGUUCUGCUGGCGGUUCCGUGCGCCCGCGCCUUGUUGGCGAUGGUGCCGCCCCUCAGGGAAAAGCUCCUCGAGCAGGCCGCCUCCGCACGAGUCUUUUGGAGUGGCCCCUCCACCCCCACCACGUCUUCAGGGUACGCCACUUCGAUGUGCUUCACCUCCAUGUUAGUAGGGGAAGGGGUCUGUGGCUCUGCCAGCGCAAG
This 1899-nucleotide unclassified non-coding RNA is filed under the name Leishmania donovani. RNAcentral's name for it is "gene:unknown". The record is from RNAcentral. Lineage: Eukaryota; Euglenozoa; Kinetoplastea; Trypanosomatida; Trypanosomatidae.